Molecule: transfer RNA, 85 nt
Filed under: Felis catus (domestic cat)
Lineage: Eukaryota; Metazoa; Chordata; Mammalia; Carnivora; Felidae
Also listed under: 4 other names
Rfam family: tRNA
About the family: Transfer RNA (tRNA) molecules are approximately 80 nucleotides in length. Their secondary structure includes four short double-helical elements and three loops (D, anti-codon, and T loops). Further hydrogen bonds mediate the characteristic L-shaped molecular structure. tRNAs have two regions of fundamental functional importance: the anti-codon, which is responsible for specific mRNA codon recognition, and the 3' end, to which the tRNAs corresponding amino acid is attached (by aminoacyl-tRNA synthetases). tRNAs cope with the degeneracy of the genetic code in two manners: having more than one tRNA (with a specific anti-codon) for a particular amino acid; and 'wobble' base-pairing, i.e. permitting non-standard base-pairing at the 3rd anti-codon position.
Source: Rfam by way of RNAcentral
GCCUGGGUGGCUCAGUUGGUUGGGUGUCUGACUUCAGCUCAGGUCUUGACCUCACAGUCUGUAGGUUCGAGCCCCGCAUCAGGCU